This 75-nucleotide transfer RNA is filed under the name Alosa alosa (allis shad). RNAcentral's name for it is "tRNA-OTHER". Lineage: Eukaryota; Metazoa; Chordata; Actinopteri; Clupeiformes; Clupeidae. The record is from RNAcentral.
GCAGCUGUGGCCUAUUGGUUAGCGCUUCGGACUUGCAACCGGAGGGUUGCCAGUUCGAACCCCGACCAGUAGGCA